This 158-nucleotide unclassified non-coding RNA is filed under the name uncultured Sporidiobolales. RNAcentral's name for it is "sequence contains ITS1". The record is from RNAcentral. Lineage: Eukaryota; Fungi; Basidiomycota; Microbotryomycetes; Sporidiobolales.
GUGAAUUUAGCGUGUCUUGCCCAUGAGCAGAGCGCGACCUCUCACUCUACACACUGUGCACAUAACAAUCGUGGAUGGAACCGAAGCCGUAAGGCCGACGUGACAUCUUCGUCUCAUUUAUACACGAGUAAACGUAUGUCAUAACAUAAAAAUAUGAA